CGGGGGGGGCAAGCGUUGUUCGGAAUUACUGGGCGUAAAGGGCUCGUAGGUGGCCAACUAAGUCGGACGUGAAAUCCCUCGGCUUAACCGGGGAACUGCGUCCGAUACUGGAUGGCUUGAGUUUGGGAGAGGGAUGCGGAAUUCCAGGUGUAGCGGUGAAAUGCGUAGAUAUCUGGAGGAACACCGGUGGCGAAGGCGGCAUCCUGGACCAACACUGACACUGAGGAGCGAAAGCCAGGGGAGCAAACGGGAUUAGAUACCCCGGUAGUCCUGGCCCUAAACGAUGAAUGCUUGGUGUGGCGGGUAUCGAUCCCUGCCGUGCCGAAGCUAACGCAUUAAGCAUUCCGCCUGGGGAGUACGGUCGCAAGGCUG
RNAcentral lists this ribosomal RNA (372 nucleotides) under uncultured organism. RNAcentral's name for it is "bacterial SSU rRNA". It matches the Rfam family "Bacterial small subunit ribosomal RNA", at positions 526 to 896 of the family's 1533-position model. The record is from RNAcentral.